UUUAGUCGGUCUCGGAGCAAACGAAGUGAAGCAUGUUAUUUAAUACGAAAGUACGCGUAAAAUCUUACCAGUUCUUGCAUAUCCAAUCUCUCAUUUAUUUUCAAUUUAUUGACUAUAGCUUAGCUUUAUUUACUUAUAUUAAGUUAAAUUAAAAAAAAGAAAAUUAGCAAAAGCUACGAGGAUAAGUUAAAAUAAAUGACUGGAUUGUGUAAUUUCUAAUAAUUAAAAAGUAAUAUAUAAAUAUUAUUACUUUUUAAUUAUUAGAAAUUCGUUUACAGGUGUUGCAUGGCUGUCGUCAA
Molecule: ribosomal RNA, 299 nt
Filed under: Gymnopilus suberis
Lineage: Eukaryota; Fungi; Basidiomycota; Agaricomycetes; Agaricales; Galerinaceae
Description: partial 16S ribosomal RNA
Source: RNAcentral